CCAUCAGGAUCGGGAGAAUCCGGUCGGGGCGCAAGCCCUUGUUUUCUGGUGCCGAAGGAGCAACCGCCCCGGUAAACUCUCAGGCAAAAGGACCGGUUCUGGUGG
Molecule: non-coding RNA, 105 nt
Filed under: Pseudorhodobacter antarcticus
Lineage: Bacteria; Pseudomonadati; Pseudomonadota; Alphaproteobacteria; Rhodobacterales; Paracoccaceae
Description: Glycine sequence
Rfam family: Glycine riboswitch aptamer
About the family: This family represents the bacterial glycine riboswitch. Glycine riboswitches usually consist of two metabolite-binding aptamers domains with similar structures in tandem. The aptamers cooperatively bind glycine to regulate the expression of downstream genes.
Source: Rfam by way of RNAcentral